UUUUUAUCUCUUUAGUCAAUUGUUUGGUAGAUCUUUAUAUUCCAAAGGUUAUGUGGUUGAGCAUAUAAAUGCUAAACAUGUAUAUGCUUUUGCAGGUUGGAUUAAUUUCCGAGGCUUUUGUGAAUUUUCAGUUGAAGACUUAUGGGACAAGUUCAUGCGACACUGAAGAGGUAAAAGCAUUAAAAACAAUGGUCUUCCAGUAUGAUCCUGUGUUGUGGAAAUCUGUAUAGAUGUGAUUAAUUAUUGACUUUCUUGUGAAAAACUCUUCUUAUCUUUCUUGUUUGUAUGAUCACUCUCUUCUCUUUGGUUUUCUAUGCGACUAAAUUUUCUAUUAUAUUGUUAAUUAUUCAUGAAUUGUCUAUUUAUUUAUUUGGAAGAGGAGCUUCAGCUUCAGGUCAGGGAAAACAAAGGCACGACGUUGAAGGAAAUAGAAUUGCAAAAAUAACAGCUGAGCAAAAAUCACUUAAUGCAGACCUUAGUGAGCUCUCUGGAAACGAAAUUACACUUAGCCAGGGGAGUUUGAAGCAAGCAGUGUAGAAGAAAAAAAUUCGACAUGGAAUCUGAGAACAAAAUUCUUCGGCAGCAAACCUCGUUUACUGCCUCUAAGUUAGAAUCAGAACAUCCAUUAGCAUCAAGGGUUAAUUACGUCUCAAGAAAGUUUGCUGUAGUUCUGUCUCCUUUAUUCCUUCUCAUUAUCAUAUGAUAUUUUUCAAAAUCUACAAUCAAUGCUGAGUUUCUAAAUUAACUUUUCUCAUUUCUUGCAGCAUCAAGUUUUUCAAGGUAGGAGCCGUUGUCUGAGUUUUCGUUUCCCAAAUAUACUUUUACAUCCGCAACUUUUGACUAAACUUUCAGGAUGUUCAUAGUUAGCACAAGUUGUCUAUUUCUGAUGACCACGUCAUUCACUUGCUUCCGACAUCUUCCCAAGACUCGAUUGUGCAAGUUUAUACUCCAAAAGGCUGAAUCUGUCUAUUGAAUCAAUUGUCUGUAAAUUUUUAAAUUCUUGUGUCUAUGUUGUUGCACGUAUAAAUGCUAAACCUUAAAUACGUUUGCAGGCUGGAGAAACGUCAGAGGCUUAUAAGGAUUUUCAGUCGAAGACUUAUGGGAUUAAAACACAAGUACAUGCGAAACUGGGAAGGAGAAGGCCAAAAAAAUAACGCUCUUCCAGUUUGACCCUAUUACUUUAUUUUUUUCAUCUUAUAACAUGCACACUUACUAUCUCGUGAAAAUCUAAUUGUAAAUUUAAAAAUUUCGAUGGUUAUGUAGUUGCACAUUCAAAUGCUAAAUUUAAAAUGCUUUUGCAGGUUGGAGUAAUUCCUUAGGCUUUUUAGAAUUUUCAGUUGCAGACUUAUGGGAUCAAAGCACUAGACAUGCGACACUGGAGAGGAAAAAACAAAAAGUACAAUUGUAUCCCUGUUUGCCCCUAUUAUUUCGUUUUUUCAUCUUAUAACACUGGCAUUUACAAUCUUGUGGAAGUGUGUAUAAAUAUUUUACCAAUAUAAUAUUGUAGAUGCCUUGGUGAGUGCGAACAAUUGUCUUCAGGUAGAAUCUCACAUGCAGGAUCAUUCACAAUGCUGGAAGGUCUGUGAUCUCUCUUAUAUGUGUCUUUAAUCUCUGUUUACCGCACUACUGAGAGGUUUUUCUUUAAUGUUUUAAGUAGAUGACACUAUCAUCAAGACCAUUGAGACAAUUCCAUAUCAAGAAUUAAAGGGAUCUAGGGAUUUGAUGCUUCGAGUUCGCCGGAGGGAUUUAUAUCAGUUUUGUAAUGAAUAUGCUGUUCAAAGGAAAAAUUGGAGAAGUACAAGGAAGUCACUGCACAAGAUUGACCGUGUACCCAUGUACCCAAUGCAUGUUCUUGGAAAACAAUGUCUUUUUGGGCAUCUUCGUGUGACAUUAGCUGGAGAGCAAAAAAGUUAUGUUCGGGCAUUAGUUUUUCAGGUGACGUUAGCUGGAUUUUUUUUUUCUAUGAUAAGCUCUCUUUCUGUGUGUGUUCCCAUGUGCGUGAAUGUGUGUGUCUAUAUAUUCUAGUGGAGCUGUUCAGGUGACAUUAGCAUGAUUUUUUCUGAUAAGCUCUCUUUCUGUGUGUGCCCAUCUCUUUCUAUGUGUGUGCCCAUGUGCGUGGUUGUGUGUGUCUAUAUAUUCUGAUGGAGCUGCUGUGAUGAUUGUUGAUAAUUUGUGGAGCUUAUAAUUUGGGCAUUUAGAAACCCUCCCGUAUCUUGAUGUGGCGAACCCGGAUGGCUGCGAUUUUGGGGUAAUUUAUAUUUCCCCAAUCGCAUGCAACCGGUGAUUCUGCAACCAUGACGGGGUGGAAUGUUUCUUUGCCAAUUUGAACGAUUGAGCAACAGAUCUGAGCCUCGUUUCCUUUAAUUCACUGCAUACUCGAAUUGCCAAUAUUUGUGAUGAUUGUACUGUAUGUUCCCAAUACUUGUUUUUCCUCAAUAUAAUUUUAUGUUAAGAGUAUUUUUAAACUUUAUCAGAGUUGGCAACCCCCUUGAUUGUUGCCCUUGUUAGUUAUAAAUCAAUCCAUCUCUCUUGUUUUUUGUUGUUCCAACAACUCGUUGGUUGUUGGCCACCUUUAACUCUACUAUGGGUCGAGAUAAAAGCGCAAGGACUCGGUGUGACCUGGAAACACUUCAGAUAAGUGUCUGGCAGCCUUGUUAGAUUCUUCAAAGAUUUUUGCAGAGAGCAGAAGUUCUUCUUUGUUUCUGAUGAUCGCAUCAUCCACUUGCUUCCAACGUCUUACUAAGGCGUAAUUGUUCGAGUCAAUUGUUUGGUGGAUCUUUGUAUUCCAAAGGUUAUGUAGUUGCGCAUAUAAAUGCUAAACAGGUAUAUGCUUUUGCAGGUUGGAGUAAUUUCCGAGGCUUUUAUGAAUUUUCAGUGGAAGACUUAUGGGACAAGUUCAUGCGACACUGAAGAGGUAAAAGCAUUAAAAACAAUGGUCUUCAUGAUCCUAUGUUGUGAAAAUCUGUAUAGAUGUUAUUAAUUAUUGACUUUCUUGUGAAAAACCUCUUCCUAUCUUUCUUGUUUGUAUGAUCACUCUCGUCCCUUUGGUUUUCGAUGCGACUAAAUUUUCUAUUAUAUUGUUAUUUAUUCAUGAAUUGUCUAUUUAUUUAUUUGGAAGAGGAGCUUCAGCUUCAGGUCAGGGAAAACAAAGGCACGACGUUGAAGGACAUGGAAUUGCAAAAAUAACAGCUGAGCAAAAAUCCAUUAAAGCGUUGUGAAAUAAUAAUUUUCAUUAUGUACUUGUUUAUUGUUGCAUCCUUUUAUGCGUCAUUGCAGACCUUAGUGAGUUCUCUGGAAAUGAAAUUACGUGAAAUAGAGAAGAAAUAUGAAGUGCUGGACAAACUUAGCCUGGGGAGUUUGAAGCAAGCAGCGUAGAAGAAAAAAAUUCGACAUGGAAUCUGAGAACAAAAUUCUUCGCAGCAAACCUUGUUAAGUGCCUCGAAGUUAGAAUCUGAACAUCCACUAGCAACUAAGCAUCAAGUUUUUCAAGGUAGGAACCGUUGUCUGAGUUUUCCUUUCCCAAAU
Erythranthe guttata (spotted monkey flower) is the source of this 3525-nucleotide non-coding RNA. The record is from RefSeq and is a predicted model, not a curated record. Lineage: Eukaryota; Viridiplantae; Streptophyta; Magnoliopsida; Lamiales; Phrymaceae.